This 372-nucleotide ribosomal RNA is filed under the name Triticum aestivum (bread wheat). RNAcentral's name for it is "partial small subunit ribosomal RNA". Lineage: Eukaryota; Viridiplantae; Streptophyta; Magnoliopsida; Poales; Poaceae. The record is from RNAcentral.
AUGGUUAGGAGUGUACCGAUUGACGAGAAGCUCUUCAUAGAAGGAGACCUCAAUGGCCACAUGGGCAAUCUAAUACAGGUUUUGAAGGGGUGCAUUGGGGGCUUUGGCUAUGGCAUCAGGAAUCAAGAAGGAGAAGAUGUCUUAAGCUUUUCUCUAGCCGACGACAUGAUUGUAGCUAACACCCUCUUUAGAAAGAGAGACUCACAUCUAGUGACUUUUAGUAGUGGCCAACACUCUAGCAAGAUUGAUUUGAUCCUCUCGAGAAGAGAAGAUACACGUGCAUGCCUAGACUAUAAGGUGAUACCUGAAGAGAGUGUUGUACCUCAGCAUAAGCUGGUUGUUGUUGACUUCCGCUUUCGGAUUUGUGUCUAG